AAAUGGUUCAACUUCAUACUCUUGUUUUCUCCCCCAGCCGUCAUGUAGCAGCAGCCAUCGUAUUAACAGGGACCAUCAUCUUAUUAGACUGAUCUUAGAGAUGGUUCUACCUCUUCGGGAGGUUAUAGUUUUCGAUCGUGGUUUCUCUGUUUAAACCUGGACGAUUCCCGAUGCGCAUUCUUUAAUCCGGCCCAUAUUAUGAUUCGCGAAAGUGGGUUGACCUUAUUGAUAUAUUGUUCACGGAUUCUGACUAUAUAAGACGAAGCAAUGCAAAUACAGAAAAAAGCAAAGAUACCCCAGUUAUCAUGGUAGGCAAUCUUAUGCUCAAAGGUGAUACAUAGACGUAAGAAAAACUGUUAGUUUUACCUAAACGCGUAUUAACAUACCUAUUGAAUCUGAAUAAUAGUAUAUUUGCUGUUUACAAGGAGCAAAAAACUGGAAGCCCAAACUAUAUUGCUGUUUUUGAGAAGACACAUUACAAGGAAGGGCGGGGAUGGGCAAACGAUAUUUGUGCAGCAGACUGGGGUAAAAUUCAAGAGGAGUUAGCUAGAGCGUCCCCAGAUGUGGAUGAUACUUCACCAGUUGAUGAACUCGAGUUACUCAAAAGUGCCUUGGGUCAUAGGAAUGGGCACGUACGCGGUGUUGGUCGUGUUGUUAAAAAUGUCACCCACGAAAUAUCGAGCUCAUACCCCCCGACACGACAACAACAACAAUCGGAAGAAAUGCAAGAAGAAAUGCAACAAAUGCGACAAGAAAUACAAGAAAUGCGACAACAACAAGUGCAAGUGCAAGUGCAAGUGUAAGUGCAACCAUUCUCAAACCAAGCAAUAAUGGAACUACAACAACAACAACAUGCGUUUCAAAUGCAACAAAUGGAAGCACAAUUUCAAUGCCGACUUAAUGAAUUGAAACGAAAAAUGCGUCAAGUUGACGAAGAUGAUGAAGAUGAUGAUUAGAAUUAGAUAUUUGCAUUAAACUUUUAAUUUGAAGUUUGUACUCGAUAACUAAUGUUUAUUUUGAAGCUUGGACUUGAUAACUAUGACGAAUAUUUUGUAUUUUGAAUCUUUAGUAUAAUAUGCAGUUUUGAAAUUUCAUGUUUAAAUUCGGUUUAAAAAUGCAGGUUAAUAAUU
RNAcentral lists this long non-coding RNA (1130 nucleotides) under Helianthus annuus (common sunflower). RNAcentral describes it as "hypothetical non coding rna". The record is from RNAcentral. Lineage: Eukaryota; Viridiplantae; Streptophyta; Magnoliopsida; Asterales; Asteraceae.